AAACAACAAAAGAACAAAGCAAUGAAAGCACAGAUUUACUGAAGCAAACAUACACUCUACAGACAGGGAGCAGACUCGAGCAAGCGGCUCAAGAGCCCCGAUUGCAAUGCUCUUUGAAGUUUUUACUAAGCUAAAAGAAUUUGGUAACACCUAUAUGUACCCUUUAGAGGCCUCCAAUUGGUUACAACCUAUGCGAAUGAAGCAUUGGCCCAUGACUCAUCAGAGGCUGAAGUGGAGGCUUGGCCCACAACCAAUCAGAGGCUGAAAUGGAGCCUGGUCCUGCAACCAAUCAAAGGCUGAAAUGAAGGCUUGGCCCCAGACCAAUCAGAGAAAAAAUACAUAUAUGUGUAUAUACAUACAUAUAUAUAUACACACAUAUAUUUAUAUAUUUCAAUUGGAAGGAAGAAGGAGAAGAAAAGAAGGAAAAGAAAGAACUUUGCAACAUACUGGGUUUAUUAUUCUGCUGCCUGUAUUUGGCAUGUUUUGCAGUGCAUGAGCUAACUUUCCAGAUAGGACAAAACUCUGUAUUUUUCAUUAAAGGGAAGAAUUUUGAUUACUCAAAA
This 563-nucleotide long non-coding RNA is filed under the name Homo sapiens (human). RNAcentral describes it as "HSALNT0394952". The record is from RNAcentral. Lineage: Eukaryota; Metazoa; Chordata; Mammalia; Primates; Hominidae.